GCGGUCAUGGUGGAAUGGUAGACACGCCAUCUUGAGGUGGUGGUGGCGAAAGCUGUGAGAGUUCGAGUCUCUCUGACCGCA
Non-coding RNA from Pseudanabaena biceps PCC 7429, 81 nucleotides. NCBI's taxonomy places the organism in Bacteria, Bacillati, Cyanobacteriota, Cyanophyceae, Pseudanabaenales, Pseudanabaenaceae. The record is from Rfam.